GCCAUUGUAGCUUAAAUCAAAGCAUGACACUGAAGCCGUCAAGAUGAACCUUAAAACGUUCCAAGGGCA
Molecule: transfer RNA, 69 nt
Filed under: Hypoplectrus unicolor (butter hamlet)
Lineage: Eukaryota; Metazoa; Chordata; Actinopteri; Perciformes; Serranidae
Also listed under: 12 other names
Description: tRNA-Phe
Source: RNAcentral